UUAAAAAAAAAAACCCUAUAAACUUUUGCAUUUUUGGGGUUUUCUAUCUUUUACGCCUCGGAUUUCCUUUUGUCUUUUUGAGAUUUUGCUUCGUGCAUUUAACCAGUGCUUGCUCAAAACGACGCUGUUUAUCCUUUGUUUUCUUCCCCUUCACAGCAUCUUUCCUUUUGUAUCUUUUUUUUUUUUUUUUUUUAAUUUCCUUCUUAUCUCUGAGAGAUUCAGAGAUAAGAUGAAAUCCGGUGAAUUCUUUGCUUGAGAUGUAAGGUCUGCGCGUUAUCAUGAGUGGGGGGAGUGAGGACAGGUGAGAGGGUGAGAAGAGUGAUGCGGUGAUAAACAGAGGCAGAGUAGGGGUGAUGAACGGAAUUUCGGGGAGGAGAAUGCCGCCACCUACUGCGAGGGCGAUUGCUAGGGCUUUCUUUGCCGUGGAAGUGACGGAAAGUACGAAGCUACCUGUGGCUGUGUGGAGCCAAGCGGCGCUAAAUUUCUGUGAGGAGUUAGGGUUCAUGCGGAGAUUAAGAACGGUAUUAGUGGUGAUUCAACAGCUGGGUUUAAUCUGAGAAGGAUUCCAUUUUUGGUGAUGAACAAAAUAGGGAUUGAGCACAUGGACUGUGAUGAUUCGAAAUUGAAAAGGCAGCCUACAAGAACUAUGAAGACCAUCUAUGACUUUUUGAAGUAAAAAUGAUGGGUAACUUCUUAUUUCCAGAAUGAGUUAUAUUUUUCAACUUCAUGUUCAAUUUAAGGAACUUUCUAUAAAUUUGGAAUGCAGAAAUUGAUUGGUGUUGGUGUCGAAGUUUCGCGAUUGUGAUUGAUAAUUGUAGCAAUGGAAUAAUUUUUCAGGAGUGUAUUCAUGCUUUAAGAAUUGUGUAUCUUUGAAUAUGCAAGUGAAAUAGGGUAGAUAGGCACCUAGAUUAAAUUCCAUUUCCAUCCAUGCUUGAUUUCCCUGAUUUAUUGUUAUUCUUUUUUUCUAUACCCUUGAUGAUCUUGCAUUGCAAAGAGACAGAAUAUUGUGGCUGUUGUUGUGAAGGCUGUUGGAGAAAGCUACGAGUCAUCCACCUCCCUCAGCAUUGUUAAGUCCGUAAAGAAUGUUUAAAGUUCACGCCUCUGUUUCAGUCCAGACGCUCAAGCCCAAGGACAAGUCUGAUUGCUUUGGUGUUUUUUGCCAAACAUAACAUCUAUAUGUGGUUCAUACCCUUUAUUCUAUAAUAUCAAAAUCAUGUGUGUUUCUUUAAUUUUAUAGAUUUUAUCGGGCUUUAAUGGAUGUUGGUUUCUUCUGAUGUUUGAUAUAGUGGCAAUUUUCUAUUUUCCUAAGUAGUUUGGCUCUGAUCUACUUAGUAUGCCUUAGUUGGCUUUUUUUUUUUUUUAAAGAAAAAAAAAUUAACCUACUAAAACAUAUGUUGCAUUUUCUUAGAAGGUUUCUUUGAUUUGUUUCUUCCUAAAUAUGUAAAUGACAAUUUGUUUAGAUAUAGCAUCAAGAUUAGGAAGAUAAAAGACACUCCAACCAAUUAAUACAAUCAUUGAAAACACAAUCAGUGAGAAUUCAUAGCUAUCAAACUACAUUCCUUUAGAUUGCUGUAUAUGUAAUGUUUACAUCGACCCACCCCGAAGAAUUAAAUAUCUGGGUUUUAAUUUUGUAAAUUAAAUGAAGAAUAUUCAAAUGCUGUAUUUGAAUCGUACAGUCAUGGUACAUAAUUCAAUUUAAUAAGCAAUGAUCAUUGAAAUUGCUUAAGCUGCAAUUAUGUGUACCCCAUAUGAUAUUAUGAUUAUGCUUUGGAUGUAAGCUCUCAAUGCUCUUAUGUGGCUGGAUAUUUUCCAAGAACCAUAACUCAAGUCAAUGAGGAAGAACAGGAGGUGCAAUUGUGUGGGUGUUGCAUGAUUUGUUUAACUUUCAUCUAAUGUAAGUUUUCCAUUUUUUUCUUCCCUCUUUGGUAAGUCAUAUGAUGUGUUAUAAAUUCAAUAUCACCAAAAUCUUCACAUGAAAUCUUGUCAGCACAGCUUAUAUCGCAUCCAAAGAAACACAAUAGUUUCAAGGCAUUUCAGUUGAGGAUGAUUAGUCUGGCUUAAACUCUGCUGUGUUUUUGUUAAUCGUUUCAAAAUCACUGCAUAAUUUAAGACUUUCAUUACAUAUUUAUUUAUUUACUUAUUUAUUACUUAAAAGUUUGCAAGAAACUGAAAUGGGGUUUCUAAAGUAUUUUUUUCCUUGAAAUUGUGGCAGGUAGCCCUACAAGGAGCCAACUGCUCAGACGAACGAAGACACAAUUUAAACUUACAUGUUUAAACACUUUUUCGAAUUUGGUGAAGGAUGGAAUUUUACGGUUUACAUGUAAGGAAGGGAAGCCACUCUUCUUUCCUCUUUAGUCUUCAUGUUUUUUUUUUUUCAUCCAAGCAAACAUAGGAUUUAGCUACACUCUUUGGAAAUGAGCAUGGUGUGGCUUUCUAUUUAUGCACCAGUUUUUUUAUUUUAAUUUAAUCCACCUGCUGAGGCUGGUUUGCUGUGGCUUAAGUAUUUUUUAAUGUUUUGAUAAUGGUAUUCUGAUAUUUUAUGGGCUUCGAGUCA
Long non-coding RNA from Hevea brasiliensis (rubber tree), 2554 nucleotides. RefSeq lists it as uncharacterized. The transcript is spliced from 2 exons. Lineage: Eukaryota; Viridiplantae; Streptophyta; Magnoliopsida; Malpighiales; Euphorbiaceae. The record is from RefSeq and is a predicted model, not a curated record.